UCGAUCUACACCCUUUGCCUGGAUGAUCUCAUCCCGUCUCCUGGUUUUCAAUGCCAUUUCUGUACCUAUGGGCCCUCGGUUUGUAUACCCCACUCCGGGUCUUCAACUGUGCCUCCGCUCGCCCCAGUGGUUGCUGCCUCCACCGUGUGGGUAAAGGUGCCUGUCACUAACUCUGACAACUGGAGUUUGAUCCCCACAAUUUACACACGGAAGGAGACAAGCAGCUCCUGAAGGCUGUCUCUGCACUCGAACACAGACACACAACAAACGAAUUUAAGGGACUGGGCACCGCUAUUCUGUCUGCCUAACUGUGGACCACGGGAGGAAACAAGACUACAUCUCCUGGACCCAGGACCUGUCAAUCGCUCACUUGGGAUGAAGGAUCAGGCCGAUUGAGGAUGUGACCUCCAUCCCCUCUGACAGCCCUCGAAGGAAGGAAGGUCGCUGUGGUCACUGUCUGUGGACAGGACUUCUCAGGUUGCUUUCUGUUAAUAAAUUGCCUUCCUGUAAGCUAAAAAAAAAAAAAGUGGGGCGGCUCUCAGGCUUGAGGCAGCUCUGACUAGCUAAAUCUGGGACAACUUGGGCGUUUAAAUAGAGCAAUAAUGGAUCGUAACCUAUUAAGUAAGAAUUGUUGAGUUUGCCUUGAUAGAAAUGAAUGGGAAAAAAAGUGGGGAAAUCCCUCAAGUGGAGAGAACUAUGGCAUUAGAGUAGCCAUCAAGCCACCACAUCGUAAAAACACACUGCAACAAUGAUCAUCAUCAGGGAUUUGUGUUUGACAAGAGGCAAGAUAUUCUCAUGGUUUGGAGCCAGCAAGAUGGCUCAGCAGAUAAAGACACUUGCCACCCAAGGACACAAGCCUGACGGAUUAGUCCCACAGAGUCCAUGCUGGAGACUGCUCACCAGUUAAGGCCUGCUCUUGCAGAAGACCUGAGCCAGGCUCCGAUCACCCACACCAGCUGGGUGUGGUGCAGCUUGUAACUGCAGCCUCAGGGGUAUCUGAAACCUCUGGCUUCUGCCUCCAGCUGGCACCUGUACUCACAUGGACACCCAAAAAAAAAAAAUCCUUAAAAAGAGAUUCCCACAGCUUCAAGACAGGAACUUGCUCUGUAGACCAGGCUGGCUUCAAACCACAGAGGGAUUAAAGGCACGCACCACCCUGGUUAGAAGGCCAACUUUCAGACGUCAGUUCUCUCUUUUUGCUGUGGGAUCCAGGGAUCAAACUUUGGUCAUCAGGCUUGCACUGCAAGCACUUUUAUCUGUUGAGCUUUCUCGCUGGCCUGAAAUAGUUAAUUAUUAGCGAUGGAAGGAAACACUAACUCUACAAUGGAGGAACUUGGCAGACCCAACCUUCACCAGUGAUCCAACUUUCUAAACCAGCAGUGGGACAAACAGAUGGAUUUGAGAGCAUGAUAGCUCGUAGCAGACAAUACCAUAUUCUCACAGUAUAACAUUGUCAUAGCAUAUCUUACAGGAUAGCAUUGUCAUAGCAUAUUCUCACAGUAUAGCACUGUUAUAGCAUAUUCUCAUAGUAUAGCACUGUCAUAGCAUAGUCUCAUAGUAUAACAUUGUCAUAGCAUAUUCUCACAGGAUAGCAUUGUCAUAGCAUAUUCUCACAGAAUAGCAUUGUCAUAGCAUACUCGCAUAGAAUAGCAUUGCCAACCUCCGUGUUCUGGUAGUUCUGUGAGCUGUAGGAAAGUGUUCUUGAUUUUAGUAAAUACUCAUGAAGUAUUAGGUAAAGGGACCUCAUGCCUUUGGUAUACUCUGAAGGCAUGGAGAUACAAAUAUGUGAAUAGUCUGGGCUACAUAGUUAUGUCAACUUGACACACGCUAGAGUCAGUUGGAAAGAGGGAAACUGGAUAAGAAAGUGUCUUCACCAGUUGCCCUGUGGAGAGCCUGUAGUGCAUUUUCUCUACUGAUGUGGUGGGGUGGAAAGCAUCUCACUGUGGGCAGUGUCAACCCUGGGCUGGUGGUCCUAGAAAUCAGGCUGAGCAGGCCCUAAGGAGCAAGCCAGUAAGUGGUGCUUCUCCAUGGCCUCUGCAUCAGCUCCUGCCUCCAAGCUCCUGCGCUGACUGACUUCCCUGGAUUAUGAACUACAAACUGUAAAAUGAGAUACACCCUCCCUUCCCCGAGUCGCUUUUGAUCAUGGUGUUUAUCACAGCAGUAAAAACCCUAAGACAUCA
This is a long non-coding RNA of Mesocricetus auratus (golden hamster), 2180 nucleotides long. RefSeq lists it as uncharacterized. The record is from RefSeq and is a predicted model, not a curated record. Lineage: Eukaryota; Metazoa; Chordata; Mammalia; Rodentia; Cricetidae. The transcript has 4 exons.